GCUACCGUGCGCUGGAUU
RNAcentral lists this small nuclear RNA (18 nucleotides) under Arabidopsis thaliana (thale cress). RNAcentral's name for it is "snRNA_06560". Lineage: Eukaryota; Viridiplantae; Streptophyta; Magnoliopsida; Brassicales; Brassicaceae. The record is from RNAcentral.